GAGUUUGAUCAUGGCUCAGGAUGAACGCUGGCGGCGUGCUUAACACAUGCAAGUCGAACGGGGUCACCAUUUUGAAGCGAUUAGCUUGCUAAGAGUGGAAAUGUUGGCGGCUUAGUGGCGGACGGUGAGUAACGCGUGGGUAACCUGCCAUAUACAGGGGGAUAACACUUAGAAAUAGGUGCUAAUACCGCAUAAGCGCACGGAGCUGCAUGGCUCAGUGUGAAAAACUCCGGUGGUAUAUGAUCGGACCCGCGUCUGUA
This 260-nucleotide ribosomal RNA is filed under the name uncultured microorganism. RNAcentral describes it as "partial 16S ribosomal RNA". It matches the Rfam family "Bacterial small subunit ribosomal RNA", at positions 9 to 241 of the family's 1533-position model. The record is from RNAcentral.